RNAcentral lists this ribosomal RNA (659 nucleotides) under uncultured bacterium. RNAcentral's name for it is "bacterial SSU rRNA". It matches the Rfam family "Bacterial small subunit ribosomal RNA", at positions 207 to 883 of the family's 1533-position model. The record is from RNAcentral.
GAGCAAUCCGGUGGAAGAUGGGCUCGCGUCUGAUUAGCUAGUUGGUGAGGUAACGGCCCACCAAGGCGACGAUCAGUAGCCGACCUGAGAGGGUGAUCGGCCACAUUGGAACUGAGAGACGGUCCAAACUCCUACGGGAGGCAGCAGUGGGGAAUAUUGGGCAAUGGGCGAAAGCCUGACCCAGCAACGCCGCGUGAAGGAAGAAGGUUUUCGGAUCGUAAACUUCUAUCCUUGGUGAAGAUAAUGACGGUAGCCAAGAAGGAAGCCCCGGCUAACUACGUGCCAGCAGCCGCGGUAAUACGUAGGGGGCAAGCGUUGUCCGGAAUGAUUGGGCGUAAAGGGCGCGUAGGCGGCCAACUAAGUCUGGAGUGAAAGUCCUGCUUUUAAGGUGGGAAUUGCUUUGGAAACUGGAUGGCUUGAGUGCAGGAGAGGUAAGCGGAAUUCCCGGUGUAGCGGUGAAAUGCGUAGAGAUCGGGAGGAACACCAGUGGCGAAGGCGGCUUACUGGACUGUAACUGACGCUGAGGCGCGAAAGUGUGGGGAGCAAACAGGAUUAGAUACCCUGGUAGUCCACACUGUAAACGAUGAAUGCUAGGUGUAGGGGGUAUCGACCCCUUCUGUGCCGGAGUAAACACAAUAAGCAUUCCGCCUGGGGAGUAC